AUAAACUGAUUUUUGUAAAAGGACUAGGUUUUAAAGGUGUCUCUAACUCAGUGUUUUCUAUCAGCAUAAACUAAUUGAAAUGAUCAUUUGAUAGACAUUGGACACAGUUGCCAGAGAAUCUGCAUGAAGGAGAAAACCCUGCAGAUGGCUGUGGAGUUGGAAGGAUGGUUUUUAAUGUGUAAGAUACACUCAGAAUGCUCACAACUGAGAAUGCCUCAACUGUUUAAAGAAACCACCUUGAGUGGCGUCUAGAUUUCUAAUGAAGAAUGAUACAGUUUGGAUUAAGUAUCUUGGACUGGUUUUAAACAAGUGCUUUGUCCUGGAUCUGUUGAAGCACCUGGCCAGCUUGGUAUCCUGUGAAACGUUUGUUAUUUUCUGGGUAGACAUUCUUAUAGAGUAUUGUCUUUAAAAUCAGAUCGUCUCUUCUAUAUUGAAAGCAUUUUUAUGUUUUCUGCUUUAACAGCGGAUAAAAUUUUACAUUUGUAAAAUUAAUAUAUUGUAUUGGUACAAAAUAG
RNAcentral lists this long non-coding RNA (515 nucleotides) under Bos taurus (domestic cattle). RNAcentral's name for it is "long non-coding RNA NONBTAT000367". The record is from RNAcentral. Lineage: Eukaryota; Metazoa; Chordata; Mammalia; Artiodactyla; Bovidae.